CCUACGGGUGGCUGCAGUGGGGAAUAUUGCACAAUGGGCGGAAGCCUGAUGCAGCCAUGCCGCGUGUGUGAAGAAGGCCUCAGGGUUGUAAAGCACUUUCAGUGGGGAGGAAGGCGGUAAGAGUAAUAUGCUUAUCGAUUGACGUUACCCGCAAAAGAAGCACCGGCUAACUCCGUGCCAGCAGCCGCGGUAAUACGGAGGGUGCGAGCGUUAAUCGGAAUAACUGGGCGUAAAGGGCAUGUAGGCGGUAAGUUAAAUCAGAUGUGAAAUCCCCAAGCUUAACUUAGGAAGGGCAUUUGAGACUGGCUAGCUAGAGUUUUGUAGAGGGGGGUAGAAUUCCAGGUGUAGCGGUGAAAUGCGUAGAGAUCUGGAGGAAUAUCAGUGGCGAAAGCGGCCCCCUGGACAAAAACUGACGCUGAGGUGCGAAAGCGUGGGUAGCAAACAGGAUUAGAUACCCCGGUAGUC
RNAcentral lists this ribosomal RNA (465 nucleotides) under Candidatus Regiella insecticola. Its description in RNAcentral is "bacterial SSU rRNA". It matches the Rfam family "Bacterial small subunit ribosomal RNA", at positions 338 to 795 of the family's 1533-position model. Lineage: Bacteria; Pseudomonadati; Pseudomonadota; Gammaproteobacteria; Enterobacterales; Enterobacteriaceae. The record is from RNAcentral.